UACGUAGGGUGCGAGCGUUAAUCGGAAUUACUGGGCGUAAAGAGCUUGUAGGCGGUUUGUCGCGUCUGCUGUGAAAUUUCGGGGCUCAACCCCGAACUUGCAGUGGGUACGGGCAGACUAGAGUGUGGUAGGGGAGACUGGAAUUCCUGGUGUAGCGGUGAAAUGCGCAGAUAUCAGGAGGAACACCGAUGGCGAAGGCAGGUCUCUGGGCCACUACUGACGCUGAGAAGCGAAAGCAUGGGGAGCGAACAGG
Molecule: ribosomal RNA, 253 nt
Filed under: uncultured bacterium
Lineage: Bacteria
Description: partial 16S ribosomal RNA
Rfam family: Bacterial small subunit ribosomal RNA
Source: RNAcentral